This 358-nucleotide transfer-messenger RNA is filed under the name Spirochaetaceae bacterium. It matches the Rfam family "transfer-messenger RNA". From Rfam's summary of the family: Bacterial tmRNA, also known as 10Sa RNA or SsrA, is named for its dual tRNA and mRNA-like properties. Its role is to liberate the mRNA from a stalled ribosome. The record is from RNAcentral. Lineage: Bacteria; Pseudomonadati; Spirochaetota; Spirochaetia; Spirochaetales; Spirochaetaceae. RNAcentral also lists the same sequence under 1 other name.
GGGGGUGCACCGGUUUCGACGGACGUGUUGAGAUCUUGAACUGCAAGUGAGGUUGCCUGUCCUCUGAACAGACAAAAACUAUAGUUGCCAAAAAAGAAGAAGACAACUACGAAGAAUACGCACUCGCUGCGUAAUUCGCAGGAUUCAGUCUGCUCCGCUCUGCGCGGAUUGAAAUCCUGACGCUAAUCAGAGCUUGCCUGAUGCGGUGUCCGGUACACAUCAGGGACUUUUACCGGAAUACGGAGACGACGCUUGUAAUGCUGCUACCGGCUCCCGACAACCACCUCGCAUUACUAAACUUGUAGACGUUCCUGGUACGCACGCUCGGACGGGGGUUCAACUCCCCCCACCUCCACUA